This 449-nucleotide ribosomal RNA is filed under the name uncultured bacterium. Its description in RNAcentral is "partial 16S ribosomal RNA". It matches the Rfam family "Bacterial small subunit ribosomal RNA", at positions 29 to 523 of the family's 1533-position model. The record is from RNAcentral.
AAUGAACGCUGGCGGCAGGCCUAACACAUGCAAGUCGAACGGAUCCUUCGGGAUUAGUGGCGGACGGGUGAGUAACGCGUGGGAACAUACCCUUUGGUACGGAAUAGCCUCGGGAAACUGGGAGUAAUACCGUAUGUGGUCGAGAGACGAAAGAUUUAUCGCCAAAGGAUUGGCCCGCGUGGGAUUAGGUGGUUGGUGGGGUAAUGGCCUACCAAGCCGACGAUCCAUAGCUGGUUUGAGAGGAUGAUCAGCCACACUGGGACUGAGACACGGCGCAGACUCCUACGGGAGGGAGCAGUGGGGAAUCUUAGACAAUGGGGGAAACCCUGAUCUAGCCAUGCCGCGUGAUCGAUGAAGGCCUUAGGGUUGUAAAGAUCUUUCAGGUGGGAAGAUAAUGACUGUACCACCAGAAGAAGCCCCGGCUAGCUCCGUGCCAGCCGCCGCAGUAA